UCUGGUGACCAGAGCGCGGUGGAACCACCCGGUCCCAUUCCGAACCCGGAAGUGAAACGCCGCAGCGCCGAUGGUAGUGAGACGAUAGGUCUUGUGAGAGUAGGUCGUCGCCAGGU
This 116-nucleotide ribosomal RNA is filed under the name Luteolibacter yonseiensis. RNAcentral also lists the same sequence under 2 other names. The record is from RNAcentral. Lineage: Bacteria; Pseudomonadati; Verrucomicrobiota; Verrucomicrobiia; Verrucomicrobiales; Verrucomicrobiaceae.